GGGGGCUAGCGUUAUCCGGAUUUACUGGGCGUAAAGGGUGCGUAGGCGGUCUUUCAAGUCAGGAGUGAAAGGCUACGGCUCAACCGUAGUAAGCUCUUGAAACUGGGAGACUUGAGUGCAGGAGAGGAGAGUGGAAUUCCUAGUGUAGCGGUGAAAUGCGUAGAUAUUAGGGGGAACACCAGUUGCGAAGGCGGCUCUCUGGACUGUAACUGACGCUGAGGCACGAAAGCGUGGGGAGCAAACAGGAUUAGAUACCCUGGUAGUCCACGCUGUAAACGAUGAGUACUAGGUGUCGGGGGUUACCCCC
RNAcentral lists this ribosomal RNA (307 nucleotides) under Clostridioides difficile. RNAcentral's name for it is "bacterial SSU rRNA". It matches the Rfam family "Bacterial small subunit ribosomal RNA", at positions 530 to 841 of the family's 1533-position model. Lineage: Bacteria; Bacillati; Bacillota; Clostridia; Peptostreptococcales; Peptostreptococcaceae. The record is from RNAcentral.